RNAcentral lists this ribosomal RNA (95 nucleotides) under uncultured bacterium. Its description in RNAcentral is "partial 16S ribosomal RNA". It matches the Rfam family "Bacterial small subunit ribosomal RNA", at positions 1388 to 1482 of the family's 1533-position model. The record is from RNAcentral.
CACCGCCCGUCACACCAUGGGAGUUGGCUCUACCCGAAGAUGGUGCGCUAACCGCAAGGAGGCAGCCAGCCACGGUAGGGUCAGCGACUGGGGUG